This is a long non-coding RNA of Lagopus muta (rock ptarmigan), 4830 nucleotides long. RefSeq lists it as uncharacterized. The transcript is spliced from 4 exons. NCBI's taxonomy places the organism in Eukaryota, Metazoa, Chordata, Aves, Galliformes, Phasianidae. The record is from RefSeq and is a predicted model, not a curated record.
UCAUCAAACACAGGCACUCUUCUGAUUAAUGGCUAAUUUAUUAUUUGCCUUGCAAAUGUUUAUCUGCAGGGAGAUGGAGUAAAUAUACUACAGCUCUGACAAGCACCAUGGCCACUCUUGCCCUGCCUGAUGGAACGGUCAGUCGAUGCUGUCCCUGAGGAGCCAUGCCCUGCCUUAGGUUUCCCAAACAGUCCUCUGAAAGGCUGGACAACCACUGCUUACAAAUAAAAGAGAACUUCUGGAAGGAAUCGCAAGAAACAAAUCAGUAAAGAGAAUGCAGUUGAUUGGAGAUAAGUCAGAUGUGUUUUUCACUUUAUCCUCUGGUGUAUAUGCCAAUGCAGACAAUGUCCCAUGACUGUAAUUGUCACUCAGCUGUCUGUCAGUGAUGAGAAGAAAAGGGUGACAGCCUUGACAUCCCACCAAUCAUCCCUCUGGAAAAUUGAUAUCGUCCUCCCCAGUAAACAACAGCUAAAUAAUCGACCAGCCUUGCCAGCACAUCCCUGAACAAUCAGCUUCCAUUAAGGGCAGAAGCCACACAUUUAUCCCACCGUACUCCAAUCAAUAGUACACUGACUUGUUCUAUGUUCCAGCAUGCCACUGCUCAAGGUCUGCAUUUAGCAAAGGCUACCUUUCAAGUCUUUCAAACUUAAACUACAGUGGAGCUUUUGGGGGUAAGUAAAGUCCUCUACUUUCAUGUAAAAUAUCUUUUUCUUGCUAAUUUGGCAUACUUAAAUUUCCAGGAAAUCUAGCAGAUUUGUUUUCUUGAUUAAUUUUUACUUUCUUUAGCAGUAAACUAAAAUCUACAAAAAUAAUAAAAAAAUAAUAAUAAUUGAAAAGCAUUUGUUUAUCAGUUGCAGGGUUGCAGUUGCACACAUAUACAUGUUUUAGAGGAAAUUUACACUUGUAGUAGAAAAACUGACCUUAUUUAAAAUGAUCUUCUGUGUAGUUAUAUACUGAAAAUAUUGUCUGGCAAUCAGAACAGUUUGUUAAAUGUGAGGUCCACAGUUGUUUAUACAUCAGUUAGUAACUUACCAACUUAAGUUACUUUAGACAGUUAGAUUGGUAAUGCAAUAAAAUCACUGCAAGGUGGUACACACAGUCUUUCAAGUUAAGCAAACUAGUUAUUUGCAUGAGUAUAGAAUUUGUCUCUGCAGGAAAAGCAAAACAUAGGCCAGCAGGCUCACUUCACAACUUGAAAGAAAAAACAUCAGAAGUGCUGCAAAUCUGUAAUUGCCAUUGCACAUUAGUACUUCACUCUGUUACUUGACAUGAGGUGCUAAGUCAGCAGCUGCUGUUGUUAUCACCCAAACAUAUCUUCUGUAGAUUAUUUAGAAAUCAACCUUUACAGCACCAAAUCUCCUACACAGAUCACAGGAGGCAUGGCUACUCACUGACUUAACAUUUUUAAUGUUAGAGGCUUUCUAUUUCAAAUUUUGUAUCCUGACCCUCACUUGUAACCUUGAGGCUCUUAAUCAGCAAACACCCCAGUGACACCGUGGCAAUGCUUCUCUGUUUCAAGUUCUCUUCUGCUUGCAGCCUUAUGCUGAUGGGUACAAACUACUGCUGUAGUAGUUUCUUGUAGCAAACGGUUUGCUAAUCCCUGAAUCACUCUCUGCCUCACAGCUUCCAACCUAUAAGCCCAGGAUAAGAUCUCUUUCCUCCCUUUUCUGUAUUAUAGCUUAGAACUUCAGCACUUUACAGAUAACAGAAGUCAAUCAAAUACAAAUCCAGUGGGCAGGUUCCUAUAAUAUUCAUGCACACAAAGCUUGGCCACCAACCAAUUUGCAAGACUUGUACCUGAUCACAAAUGGUUUCACAAGUGCGUACUGUAAACAAGAACAUGUAGUCAGGAGUUUGGCCAGGCCCUGAUAAUACUAUCUUCUAUAGCAGAAGUGUUUGGACUGCAUGGAAGAGAACACUUCCAGGAAUACUCUUCAUUUUUCUUUCCAGCUGACUACUAACAACAGGUCUUUUGUCCCUUUCAGUCCUCUUUUCUACUUGUUUGUGUUUUCCAGCUAAUGUAACUUUGAAGCUGAUGCAUGCCAUCAUCUAUGGGCCCCCACUAAUAAAGCUUUGUGCAUGUAAGUGCGCCUGAACAGUUUGUGCAACAUCAACUACUGACAGCUAGAUUGACAACUGUUAGUAACCAGUACAGAAAUUGCAAUUUCUCUAAACACAAGCAGUAGAUUUUGAACUUCCAAAUUAUCACCGCGAUUACAUCAUUAUACAUAUUGAUACAUUACAAAACUACAAUGAUUUAUGAGAUGGGAGUUGUUAUUUGUAGAGUUAAGACCCUCUGCCAUUACUUGGAAAUAAAUAAAAUAUAAAUAAAGUUCAUAAAAUUCUUAAGUUUAGUUUAUAAGGAAAAAUUAAGGAUUACCAUGACAGGUUUCAUUUGUUUGGGGAUGUAGGCACUACUGGUGUAAUGCAAAAAUCAUUAGGGAAUUCACAGUCCCCUUCACUUUGUUAAAUGGACAUAAUCAAUACCUUAAUGGGAAUGUUUGGAAGCAUCCAUGGGCAGAUCAAAUUGGCACUUAUAACACUUUUUCCAGCCUGUACACUAAGUUCAUUAACUUCUCUCAUUUGAAUUACAAAUUUCAUUUCUCAGAUCAAGACGAGGACAUGGCUCUCAUUUACAAGCUCAGAUUCUUUGCUGUGUUAAUGUUUUACAGGAAACGAUAAAGUUAAUGCAGUGGAGAGACAUCAUGCCAUCCCUGUUGGUAUACAAUUAUAGACAAGGUCCCAGAUUCCAAUAAUCCUGAUGGGAGAGAGACAGGAACUUCCAUAAAAGAAUGAGAAAAUUAUUAAGUAGAGAGGCCAAAAGGCUAAUCGACCCUCUUAGAAACAUAUUCAUGCUUGUCAUAACAAGAACAUACCCUACAAAACCAAAAUGUGUUAUUUAAUAUAAUCUAAUUUAAUGAGCAAACACAGCCAUAUUCUCAUUCACACUUAUCAUUAAAUUGCUAAUUAAAACCUUUUAGAAAGGUUUAAGGUUUAAAUGAAACACUUCUUUAAUUUUAUGGUACUGUACUUAGGAGAGUUGAUAAAGCUUUAGAAAAGAAUUACAUUCUGCAAAAGCUUCCUUCUAAAACUAUGAGUACUGAUAAAAUGCAAGGUUAUGCACUAAAGAAUGGCACAAAUCGCCAGCACAAUUUUCUCAUGAAAGUUUAAAGCAGCAUUUUCAGAACAUGCUAACAACACAGGUAAGAAUCGAGAUCUGCAAACCUGACUCUUCUGCACCUUGAAUUUAGUUAAUAAAGAAAUAAGCCUGAGAAAAUGCCACAUAUGGAACCAUUCGUAAAUUUAAGAAUUACUAGAAGAACAGGUAUCAAAAUCUGGCUUAAGAAUCUGUUAGCGAAAUAGAAAUAGUGACUGAAGUGAUAUUCACGCAUAUAACUUGGAGCUACUUUUUCAUUAUGGGUUUGCCAUCAGAAGUAGCAAAUAUAUAAUCCCACUAAAUUCCAGAAUUUAUUUUUCAUUACAGUAAACACUUUUUUUUUUUUUUUUUAAGUCCAUGUCAUAAAAAGAUGGGAUUCAGUUAUACUAUAUUAAUUGUUGCUGAAGCAGUAUCUUUCUGAGAUUAUUUCGCCAAUUUUAGUCUAGAUACUUUCAACACUGCCACCAAGUCUACAAUUCCAUAAUUGAACUUCCCUACAGCAUGCAUUUGCUCCAAUAUCAGCAUGGACACAAAAUCUGACCUCUGCUAACUCCACCACAGCAUACAACAUGAACUCUAUGCUGGCCAUAUGCUUUCAUGCCAAUUCUGGGAAGGCUGACAACAUGGCACAAUGCCUGGUUGCUGUCACGUUCACCUAUCAAAAAUGUUCGGUUAAAUCUGAAUUAGCAGCAUAAAUUUAUAACAAAUCUGCACUUUCCUGUCACAAAGCAUCAGUUUUUGAGCCAGCAAGAGGAACCCUAGAGUUACAGUGUUGGUUGUAACUCACUCCUAUUUGGUGCCUUGUGCAUUCAAAAAGCGUAUACAUAACCCCUUUCCCUGAACAAUGAUGAAGAAGCUGUCAGUGUCUUCAUCUGAGGCUCAGUAUGUGUUGAGGGCAGGUAGGAAGAGGGUUCUUUUCACAUGCAUAAGAGACCUGUCACAACCCAGUUCAGUGUGAGUAACUACCAAAUUCUCUAUAUAGCAGCAUCAAGAAUGGCUGAUUUGUUGAGGAAAAUCUCACUUGUCUGCUCUCUCAGACCAUUUUUUUCAUAAUAAUGGAUAUUAGUUUUAAUUUCAAAGUAGCUAGUAUGGCUCAAUUUACAGUCAAAGCAACAUGUAGUUAAGAUCUUUUCCUGUUGUGACUAAUAAGCUUUUGUUCCCUUAGCACGGGUGCAGAGAAGGCUGUGGGGAGAGACAGAAGAGGAGGCAAGUGUCAGUGGAAAUUAAUGUGCAUGAUACUGUGCACAGUUCAAAAAUAAGUAUUUCUGUAGGAAUUUAUGACCUUUGACAACUUAUUAGAGAUGGCAUUAUAAAAAGCCCAUUGUAAGGUAUUAUACUGCAAUAAGUCAUUCUUCUAUUACAGUUUCUGGCUUUGGACUGUUUGUUUUUGUUUGUUUUCUUUUUAUAUUGUUGGAUUAGUAAGAGAUGAAAAUCCUCUGUCCAAGACCUGGUUUUAUUAUAUUUCUGCCUAGUAAGAAUGGUCAAUUCCCAGUCACAUAAUAUUCAUGGGUGUUUGACUUCUAAUGUGGUGCUUCAUUUGCAGGUCCUUCAUUUUCAGAGAGUAGGUUUUAAGACAGAGAAAAUUUGUAAAUGCCUUAAAAACAAGAUAUAAACAUACAUAACAAGAAAAAGGGGAAUGAGAAGGCUAAGGAUUAAAAAAAAAAAAAAAAAAA